This 855-nucleotide small RNA is filed under the name Leptographium cucullatum. Its description in RNAcentral is "eukaryotic LSU rRNA". The stretch from base 486 to 639 matches the Rfam family "5.8S ribosomal RNA". The record is from RNAcentral. Lineage: Eukaryota; Fungi; Ascomycota; Sordariomycetes; Ophiostomatales; Ophiostomataceae.
GACCUGCAGGAAGCUCCGAACACCAACAACACAAAAAUUAUACAAAGUAAAAACAACCCACAGACAGAAAAAAGAACCACUCUCAGAAAAAAGCAAACGAAAAAAAUACUGCUUCAACCAAAUAAACAAUAAAAACAACAAAAAAGGACUCCAAAGAACAAAAUACGCUUUAAUGUUCCCAAAGACUUUUGAUUUGGACAAGAGGAAAGCGAUAAAAGAAUCCAAUAAUAGAAACAUCAGUGUCUCGGCCCCUUUUAGAAGUAAAAGUCGUAACAAGGUCUCCGUUGGUGACCAGCGGAGGGAUCAUUAGCGAGUUCACAAGUGACUCCCAACCCGUGCCAACUUACCGCGCCCUGGUCUCCAGGGCGCACCGUUGCCUCCUGGCGGGCGCCGUCGGCACCUUGCGGUGCGGGCGUGCCUGCCGGGGGCGCACCGAACCUUCUUUGCCGUAUUAUACCGUCUGAGAAAAACCACAGAAUCGUAAAAACUUUCAACAACGGAUCUCUUGGUUCUGGCAUCGAUGAAGAACGCAGCGAACUGCGAUAAGUAAUGCGAAUUGCAGAAUUCAGCGAGCCAUCGAAUCUUUGAACGCACAUUGCGCCCGCCAGUAUUCUGGCGGGCAUGCCUGUCCGAGCGUCAUUUCCUCCCUCACGCGGCCUUUCGCGUGGUGUUGGGGCGAUCUGCGACCGGUCGCUGCAGCGAUGCGGCGUCCGGCGCAGCCCCUCAAAGCAAGUGGCGGGCCGGCAGCGGUCUCCGAGCGCAGUAAGCAUUUUUGCCUCUCGCCCUGGACGAUGCUGCCUGCGCCCUGCCCCCAAUGCAGACGCAAGUCUAUCUCAAAGGUUGACCUCGGAUCAG